GCCAGACUCCUAUGGGAGGCAGCAGUGGGGGAUAUUGCACAAUGGGGGGAACCCUGAUGCAGCGACGCCGCGUGGGUGAAGGAGUGCUUCGGCAUGUAAAGCCCUAUCGGCAGGGAAGAAGCAAGACGGUACCUGACUAAGAAGCCCCGGCUAACUACGUGCCAGCAGCCGCGGGAAUACGGAGGAUCCGAGCGUUAUCCGGAUUCAUUGGGUUUAAAGGGUGCGUAGGUUGUUUUAUAAGUUAGCGGUGAAAUACCGAUGCGCAACAUCGGGGCUGCCGCUAAGACUGUAGGACUAGAGAUCGGAUGCAGCAGGCGGAAUGUGUAGUGUAGCGGUGAAAUGCAUGGAUAUUACACAGAACACCGAUUGCGAAGGCAGCUUGCUAGGCCGGAUCUGACACUGAUGCACGAAAGCGUGGGGAUCGAACAGGAUUAGAUACCCUAGUACA
This 448-nucleotide ribosomal RNA is filed under the name uncultured bacterium. RNAcentral describes it as "bacterial SSU rRNA". It matches the Rfam family "Bacterial small subunit ribosomal RNA", at positions 330 to 794 of the family's 1533-position model. The record is from RNAcentral.